GCAAGUCGAGGGGUAACAUUGUAGCUUGCUACAGAUGACGACCGGCGCACGGGUGCGUAACGCGUAUAGAACCUACCUUUUACAGAGGGAUAGCCUUUAGAAAUGAAGAUUAAUACCUUAUAGUAUUGAGACUUGGCAUCGAGUUUUAAUUAAAGAUUUAUCGGUAAAAGAUGGCUAUGCGUCCUAUUAGUUAGUUGGUAAGGUAACGGCUUACCAUGGCAAUGAUAGGUAGGGGUCCUGAGAGGGAGAUC
RNAcentral lists this ribosomal RNA (251 nucleotides) under uncultured bacterium. RNAcentral describes it as "partial 16S ribosomal RNA". It matches the Rfam family "Bacterial small subunit ribosomal RNA", at positions 57 to 305 of the family's 1533-position model. The record is from RNAcentral.